This 404-nucleotide ribosomal RNA is filed under the name Fusobacteriota bacterium. RNAcentral describes it as "Fusobacteria bacterium partial 16S ribosomal RNA". It matches the Rfam family "Bacterial small subunit ribosomal RNA", at positions 355 to 776 of the family's 1533-position model. Lineage: Bacteria; Fusobacteriati; Fusobacteriota. The record is from RNAcentral.
UGGGGAAUAUUGCACAAUGGAGGGAACUCUGAUGCAGCGACGCCGCGUGAGUGAUGAAGGACUUCGUUUCGUAAAACUCUGUUCUAUGGGAAGAAAAGGACUGUACCAUAGGAGAAAGCUCCGGCUAAAUACGUGCCAGCAGCCGCGGUAAUACGUAUGGAGCGAGCGUUGUCCGGAAUUAUUGGGCGUAAAGGGUGCGCAGGCGGCUUUACAAGUUGGAUGUGAAAUAUUGUGGCUCAACCACAAACGUGCAUCCAAAACUGCAAAGCUUGAGUUAAGGGGAGGUAAGUGGAAUUCCUGGUGUAGCGGUGGAAUGCGUAGAUAUCAGGAGGAAUACCGGUGGCGAAGGCGACUUACUGGACUUAAACUGACGCUCAGGCACGAAAGCGUGGGGAGCAAACAGG